RNAcentral lists this ribosomal RNA (353 nucleotides) under Trichomonas vaginalis G3. RNAcentral describes it as "5.8S ribosomal RNA". The stretch from base 83 to 238 matches the Rfam family "5.8S ribosomal RNA". The record is from RNAcentral. Lineage: Eukaryota; Parabasalia; Trichomonadida; Trichomonadidae.
UCUAGUUUUAAUAACUAACACCAACUUCUUUUAUUAAACAAAAACCAAUACAAAAUUAAAAACUAACUUCAUCAAAAACCAAGUCUCUAAGCAAUGGAUGUCUUGGCUCCUCACACGAUGAAGAACGUGGCAUAAUGUGUUAAGUAACCGGAGUUGCAAACAUCAUGACAGGUUAAUCUUUGAAUGCAAAUUGCGCUAAACUCGAUCUCGGUCGAGAAGCAUGGGUGUGACAGUACUACAUCUUUUAUAAUAAUUCUUAUUCUAAGCGAAUAAGUAAAUAAUAUAUAAGACAAACAACACGUAGUCUGCCAUACGCAGGAAGACCCGCUGAACUGAAGCAUCUCAUUAAGCGG